Molecule: ribosomal RNA, 406 nt
Filed under: uncultured bacterium
Lineage: Bacteria
Description: partial 16S ribosomal RNA
Rfam family: Bacterial small subunit ribosomal RNA
Source: RNAcentral
AUUGAACGCUGGCGGCAGGCCUAACACAUGCAAGUCGAACGAGUGGCGGACGGGUGAGUAAUGUCUGGGAAACUGCCUGAUGGAGGGGGAUAACUACUGGAAACGGUAGCUAAUACCGCAUACCAUCAGAUGUGCCCAGAGGGGAUUAGCUAGGUGGUGGGGUAACGGCUCACCAAGGCGACGAUCCGGAGCUGGUCUGAGAGGAUGACCAGCCACAAGGGAACUGAGACACGGUCCUGACUCGUACGGUAGGCAGCAGUGGGGAAGAGUGCACAAUGGGCGCAAGCCUGAUGCAGCCAUGCCGCGUGUAUGAAGAAGGCCUUCGGGUUGUAAAGUACUUUCAGCGGGGAGGCGUUACCCGCAGAAGAAGCACCGGCUAACUCCGUGCCAGAAGCCGCGGUAAUAC